RNAcentral lists this ribosomal RNA (497 nucleotides) under uncultured bacterium. RNAcentral's name for it is "partial 16S ribosomal RNA". It matches the Rfam family "Bacterial small subunit ribosomal RNA", at positions 28 to 507 of the family's 1533-position model. The record is from RNAcentral.
GACGAACGCUGGCGGCGUGCCUAAUACAUGCAAGUUGAGCGAUGAAGAUUGGUGCUUGCACCAAUUUGAAGAGCAGCGAACGGGUGAGUAACGCGUGGGGAAUCUGCCUUUGAGCGGGGGACAACAUUUGGAAACGAAUGCUAAUACCGCAUAACAACUUUAAACAUAAGUUUUAAGUUUGAAAGAUGCAAUUGCAUCACUCAAAGAUGAUCCCGCGUUGUAUUAGCUAGUUGGUGAGGUAAAGGCUCACCAAGGCGAUGAUACAUAGCCGACCUGAGAGGGUGAUCGGCCACAUUGGGACUGAGACACGGCCCAAACUCCUACGGGAGGCAGCAGUAGGGAAUCUUCGGCAAUGGACGAAAGUCUGACCGAGCAACGCCGCGUGAGUGAAGAAGGUUUUCGGAUCGCAAAACUCUGUUGGUAGAGAAGAACGUUGGUGAGAGUGGAAAGCUCAUCAAGUGACGGUAACUACCCAGAAAGGGACGGCUAACUACGUG